Molecule: non-coding RNA, 45 nt
Filed under: Schistosoma margrebowiei
Lineage: Eukaryota; Metazoa; Platyhelminthes; Trematoda; Strigeidida; Schistosomatidae
Source: RNAcentral
GUCUAGCUGAUGAAUUUUAAAUAGGAUGAAACGCGCGUCCUGAAU